CGCUUCUCUCCUGCCUGCGCCAUUUUACAUCAAGAAAUUUCUGGUGAAAACAAAAACAAGCGGUGAGAGAAGAGGGCAAGGACUAGGUGAAGUUAUGUUGCUGGACUAGGCAAUGUCUGAGGGCAAGUCAUAAGUAGGGUUGUGGUGUCAUGAGCAAGAAAAAGAUACAUUACCAUUUUCCUAGAAGCUUCACACAGGGUGCGGGGAUGCUUGGUGUUAUUCAGAAACAAAUGCCAACUAGAGAUGAAUUAUGUUAUGCUCAGCCCUGAAACUGCUCUAGAAUGAAUCAAUUCUCAACUACAAAGUGAAAGAAAAGCAUAUAAUAUUUAUAUAGUGUCAAGUCGAUGCCCUUGAAAGUGCAGAUGCCAGCACUGAGAAUUGGUGGGCUCCCCAGCCUUCAGUGAAGAUGUAUUGAUGCAGACCAGGUGAGAGUAGGCAGCUUCAUUGGCUACCAGGGAAAAUACUUGUUCCCCUGAUGAACUAAGUGCUAUUUGUCUUUCUCAGGUUACAAUCAAGCAUAAAGGCAACUGCCAGGGGAAAAUAGGUGGGCUUCAUUUUUUUUCCAGCAGUGCCAGCCCACCUUACAUUUUGGUAAUAAAAUAGAGUUAAAGUAUGGUUUUGUGUGGGUGUUAGUCAGGAAGUUUAUUUUUCUGAGAAAUGAUUUAAUACUCCUUCAUGAACCCAAAGUGCACAUGGGUGUUAUAAAUCUGAGUUCUUCUUUACAGUGCAUGUGACCAGCAGCUGGAUUACGUAUGAUAACAUUCAGGAUAACGUUGUUGAAAAAGUUUCAUAUUAUUUUGGCAUUUUCUUUUCACUUGCACAUACAACCUGACAACAUAACCUGAGACUAUUUGCAAGCUAUAUGGAUCAAGCCUCCCCAUCAUCUUCGAAAGCUAGGGGGAUGCCUGGGGAUUCUGGGGGGACAUGCUGGAGAGAGGAAGGGAUAAAGAAGCUACAGCUCCUGCUUGCAAGUUGUGUGCAGUACCUGGGAACCACACACCCUGAGGUGUGGAGCUGUUGUGAAGCAAUCUGACCUGCCUGAGUGGCUCCAGAGGGGCCCCCAAACACUCGGAGUUUAGUAAAAACACUAAAAUCUCUUCAGACUCACUCAAAAGGUAUGGAUGACAUCAUGUAAUGCUGCUAGUGACUUCCUUAAACCACACAUGGGAUUAGAAUAAGUUUAUGUGCAUGUUCUUCUGCGUUAUGUAUCAGAAGUAGAGCACGUGCAGAUCUACUUUACAAACUGAAAGCAACACGAUGCCCUCAUACACCAGGUCCCGCCAGGGCUGUGCCAUUUCUUUAUGCUCAUGUCUGCUUUCCUAUAAAGUACGUCUGACACAGGCUCUUUAGUAUCCUAAAGACCAAUGGUGCACGUUAUUAAAGUACUGAAAUAUAAUACCAGAAGUUUGCAUUUAUACAGUAGUGUCUGUAAUUUACACAAUUAAAACAAAGAAUGCAACAUAAGAAGUAGUGCUAAUGAAUGGCUCCCCUCACCUUUUACAACCAAGACCCAUCCAUCACUUACAGGGGAAGCUGGCUUUUCAACUGACUUCACCCUUUAUUAGA
RNAcentral lists this long non-coding RNA (1566 nucleotides) under Anas platyrhynchos platyrhynchos (common mallard). RNAcentral's name for it is "lncRNA (ENSAPLG00000022433.1)". Lineage: Eukaryota; Metazoa; Chordata; Aves; Anseriformes; Anatidae. The record is from RNAcentral.